Long non-coding RNA from Mustela erminea (ermine), 1562 nucleotides. RefSeq lists it as uncharacterized. The record is from RefSeq and is a predicted model, not a curated record. NCBI's taxonomy places the organism in Eukaryota, Metazoa, Chordata, Mammalia, Carnivora, Mustelidae. The transcript is spliced from 4 exons.
GUGAGCCUCGCUCAACCCACUGUGCUCCGUGCUCUGUCCUCCUUCCUCCAUCUCCAUGUGCUCCAUGCUUGGGUGGAGAAGGUGACUGUAGCAGUGGGACCCACAGAGACACGGGACCCCUCGUUCUCAGAAUCGGACACCCCAGCCAAUGGAGACGGAAAGCGGAAGAAUCUCACGGACUCUGAGGUGCCGGUAGGACUCAUCUGCGCGAAUCAUGGGGCAACACAGGAAAGAGAAGGGAAGAAAAGGCUCGUAGGUUUAAGAACUUCUAACAACAACACCAGAAGGUUGGAAAAGGUGUUAACAGAAAACUGAACUCUAAGUCUGGAUUCAGACGGCCAAGACGCGGUCUGUUCCCUGAGAUGACCUGGGCACCAAAAUGAAAGGGAUACCUUCGAGAGAUUCCAGAACCUUGUAGGUUGUCAGAGCUGCUGAUAGAUUUUUCUUCUAAGUGCCUAGUAACUCCUGGUGUGGGCUCCCAGCCUGGAGACAAAGGCACUGGAAUCAUGCUGAACCCACUCAGGAAGCCCAGGCUCCAGGCUGGCCUUGAUUUGGAUGGAGACCAGCCUUCAGGAGCUGCCCAAAAUACUGACAGCCGUGCUUUGGAAAGACACAGAUUUCAACAAUACACCCUCCUCUCACUGACCCUCUCACCCUCUGGCUCAAGGAGAGGCUUUCUGUCACUAAAAAGGCAUGUUCAUUUAUAACAGAUGGGGGUGUUUGGACUUUCUGGUAAUGGAUUUAUAGAUUUCAUCCCAGCCCUACCUCUCUGAAUUUCUGGCCUGGUGGGGUCACCCACCUUUUUUCCUGGGAGGGGCCUGAAGUCCCCUGGGACUCCAUGUCUGAACCAACAGUAAGAAAGUGUUUAACACCGCGGUUCCUGACCUUGGUGAUGUUCAGUAGAGCAUAAGGGGCAGAAAAGUGUUUGAUCAAAACUUGUUUCCUUGCUAUGUGGUUCAAGUUGAUGAAACAUAGUUUCUGAACCUAAAAACAAAAAUCAAAGGGACAAAGUAAUUGACCACAAGUUCGUAUUUUCCCCGCUCAGGACUACUCAGGGAGGCACAUUUUCCUCCUGUUCUCACACUUUGGAGUGCAUCAGAGUCCACUGCAGGACCUCUUAAAACCCCCAUCCUCGGAGUUUCUGAUCUGGGAGAGGGAGACCCUGCCUGUCUAGCUGAGUCCCAGGUGAUGCUAAGGCUCCAGGGACCACACUUUGAGAACCACGGCUCUCCAGCAAGAACACCACUGGCCUCUUGACCCUUUGUCUUGCAGGUUCAUCUAUUACUUUGGUCUUUCCAAGGCCACAUUUCCCCCAUGCACCUGGGGCAGCCCAGAACAGGCCUCUGUUGACGCAGCCCUGUGUUGUCUGCAAGCCAAAGUACUACAACAGGAAGUGGGGUCUUAGAGCUUCUCAAGCGCCAGCUGAGGCCACCAGGAGGCACCAUGAGAGCACUGCCCCACCGAGGCACACCGGACUGCCCUUCACACCAGCAUCGUGAGUCGGAAACGCUGGCAAGGCCAGCAGUAGCCCAGGGACCGAGGUCACCGUCUACUGGAAAUUU